Molecule: ribosomal RNA, 446 nt
Filed under: uncultured Arcobacter sp.
Lineage: Bacteria; Pseudomonadati; Campylobacterota; Epsilonproteobacteria; Campylobacterales; Arcobacteraceae
Description: bacterial SSU rRNA
Rfam family: Bacterial small subunit ribosomal RNA
Source: RNAcentral
AAAAUAUAGGGUAACGUGCCCUAGAGAAGAGGAUAACAUUUGGAAACGAAUGCUAAUACUCUAUAUGCCUUUAAGUCAUAAGACUGCAAGGGAAAUAUUUAUAGCUCUAGGAUCGGCCUGUACGGUAUCAGCUUGUUGGUGAGGUAAUGGCUCACCAAGGCAAUGACACCUAACUGGUUUGAGAGGAUGAUCAGUCACACUGGAACUGAGACACGGUCCAGACUCCUACGGGAGGCAGCAGUGGGGAAUAUUGCACAAUGGACGAAAGUCUGAUGCAGCAACGCCGCGUGGAGGAUGACACAUUUCGGUGCGUAAACUCCUUUUAUAUAGGAAGAUAAUGACGGUACUAUAUGAAUAAGCGCCGGCUAACUCCGUGCCAGCAGCCGCGGUAAUACGGAGGUCGCAAGCGUUACUCGGAAUCACUGGGCGUAAAGAGCGUGUAGGCG